Oryzias sinensis (Chinese medaka) is the source of this 1938-nucleotide long non-coding RNA. The record is from Ensembl. NCBI's taxonomy places the organism in Eukaryota, Metazoa, Chordata, Actinopteri, Beloniformes, Adrianichthyidae.
AUUGCUUGCCAUUCUUGUUGCACUUGUAAUGUGAAUGGGAAGGAGUUGUCCAAGUCCAGCCACGAUGAGACUGUGGAGGCCUUUCGGGCUGCCAGAGACCCCGUUGUGGUGCAGGUCAUCAGGCGUACCCCCAGCGGCCACCCACAUGGCCUCCCUCAGGAAAUCCAUGUGGUGGACGUGUGCACUCAGACCGACAUCACCUUUGAACACAUCAUGGCUCUGGCAAAGCUCCGACCUACAACCCCCCCAGUGCCUGACGUCUACUACCUUUCAGGUGUUCCAGCUGAAGGAGACCGGACAGAGGAAUAUGAGUAUGAAGAAGUUGAACUUUGCCGACUCAGCAGUCACGAGAAAUUGGGGUUGACUCUUUGCUACAGGACAGAUGAAGAAGAGGACAUGGCCAUUUAUGUCAGUGAGGUCUGUCCAAACAGCAUUGCUGCCAAUGAUGGACGGAUCCGAGAGGGGGAUCGCAUUUUACAGAUUAAUGGCCAAGAUGUCAAAGACAGAGAGGAAGCGAUGGCGGCACUCUUCAACGACGAAAGUAGGAACAUCGUCCUCCUAGUUGCCAGACCUGACAUGCAGGUUAGAAACCCCCACCAAUUUCUGAGGAACAGUCAUGAAGACAAUCGGAACUCUCGCUGCACUGCCAGUUCCACAAGACUGGAGGAAAAGGACGAGGAAGAGGAGGACAACAUAGAAACUGAGAGUGACAGUUAUCGGCAACUACUGGAGCUAAAAUGUCAGAUACGCAACAGCGGCGAGUAUGACCUCUUCUACAGCCGGCGCAGCACCAUCGAGUGCAGUAUGGCAGAGCAGAGCAGCGUACAGCACGAGCUCCGCCUGCUCAAUGAGGAGCUGCGCAGCAUCGAGCUUGAGUGUCAGAACAUCAUGCAGGCUCAUAAGCUUCGGAAGGGCCAGGAGUCUCCAGUAAAGGGCCUUUCCGUGCCUUCCCCCAGAGGUCCACACUGUGAAGAGUCCACAAGGGGCAAGCUGGCUGACAAUAAUGAAAGGCUGGAGAAAUCGGACAAGGACAGCUCCAGUGCCUAUAACACUGCAGAGAGUUCGCGGAGUACUCCUCUGGCGAUGGAUCGCUCCCCCGAGCACUCGCUCCAGAGAAUGGUGAGCCUCACUAACCAGAGAAACCUGUGCAGUGGACUUGCAGGUCCCUCAGUCAUUACUGCAAGUCGUGCUCCAACAGUGGGGAAGAGCAGCAGCCCCGACCACAGCAAUCCUUCAGAGACAGACCAGAUGCCUCAGGCUGAAGACGAAAGCAAAAAGAUUACACAGUGUACCUCUCGGAUUCCUUACUUCUCUCCUUCUCACAGUUCCCAGCAAAGGCAGGUUAACAUCCCGGCUCAUGCCAGCCAUUACCAGAGCUACAUGCAGCUAAUCCAGCAACACUCAGCUGUGGAAUACGCUCAGAGCCAACUCAGCCUCCUUAGCAUUUGUAAAGAGCCUCAGCGACCUAUUAAUGAGCCCAAAAUGGAGUGGAAGGUCAAAAUCAGAAGCGACGGCACUCGUUACAUCACCAAGAGGCCUGUAAGAGACAAGAUCCUGAGGGAGCGAGCCUUAAAGAUUAAAGAAGAACGCAGCGGCGGCAUGACUACGGAUGAUGAUGCCAUGAGUGAAAUGAAGAUGGGGAGGUACUGGAGUAAAGAGGAAAGAAAGCAGCACCUUGUCAGGGCAAAAGAGCAGAGGAGGAGGCGGGAAUUCAUGCAGCGUAGUCGACUGGAAAGCUUGAGGGAAAACCCGCAGAGCAGCAAUGAAGGUCGCAAGGAAGUCAGCAUCAUAGAGCUCAGCCACAAAAAGAUGAUGAAGAAACGCAACAAGAAGAUCUUGGAUAGCUGGAUGACAAUCCAGGAGCUGAUGACUCACGGUGCGAAGGCGCCCGAGGGUGCAAACGUGAACAAUGCCUUCCUUUCAGUCACUACUGUAUAA